AUCAAUCUCGGUGAUGAAGUUCGCCAUUAACCGCUCCCCCCUUUUAUCGGGGGCUGAUAACUUCUACUAGUUU
This 73-nucleotide non-coding RNA is filed under the name Deltaproteobacteria bacterium. RNAcentral's name for it is "Fluoride sequence". It matches the Rfam family "Fluoride riboswitch aptamer (crcB RNA motif)". The record is from RNAcentral. Lineage: Bacteria; Pseudomonadati; Myxococcota; Myxococcia.